Molecule: ribosomal RNA, 507 nt
Filed under: uncultured bacterium
Lineage: Bacteria
Description: bacterial SSU rRNA
Rfam family: Bacterial small subunit ribosomal RNA
Source: RNAcentral
AUUGAACGCUGGCGGAAUGCUUUACACAUGCAAGUCGAACGGCAGCACGGGGCAACCUGGUGGCGAGUGGCGAACGGGUGAGUAAUACAUCGGAACGUGCCCAAUCGUGGGGGAUAACGUAGCGAAAGUUACGCUAAUACCGCAUACGAUCUACGGAUGAAAGCGGGGGAUCGCAAGACCUCGCGCGAAUGGAGCGGCCGAUGUCAGAUUAGGUAGUUGGUGGGGUAAAGGCUCACCAAGCCAACGAUCUGUAGCUGGUCUGAGAGGACGACCAGCCACACUGGAACUGAGACACGGUCCAGACUCCUACGGGAGGCAGCAGUGGGGAAUUUUGGACAAUGGGCGCAAGCCUGAUCCAGCCAUUCCGCGUGCAGGAUGAAGGCCCUCGGGUUGUAAACUGCUUUUGUACGGAACGAAACGGUCUGCCCUAAUACGGCGGGCUAAUGACGGUACCGUAAGAAUAAGCACCGGCUAACUACGUGCCAGCCGCCGCGGUAAUACCCACGA